Molecule: ribosomal RNA, 204 nt
Filed under: Salmonella enterica
Lineage: Bacteria; Pseudomonadati; Pseudomonadota; Gammaproteobacteria; Enterobacterales; Enterobacteriaceae
Also listed under: 3 other names
Description: partial 16S ribosomal RNA
Rfam family: Bacterial small subunit ribosomal RNA
Source: RNAcentral
AAAUUGAAGAGUUUGAUCAUGGCUCAGAUUGAACGCUGGCGGCAGGCCUAACACAUGCAAGUCGAACGGUAACAGGAAGCAGCUUGCUGCUUUGCUGACGAGUGGCGGACGGGUGAGUAAUGUCUGGGAAACUGCCUGAUGGAGGGGGAUAACUACUGGAAACGGUGGCUAAUACCGCAUAAUGUCGCAAGACCAAAGAGGGGG